Molecule: long non-coding RNA, 2312 nt
Organism: Salvia miltiorrhiza (redroot sage)
Lineage: Eukaryota; Viridiplantae; Streptophyta; Magnoliopsida; Lamiales; Lamiaceae
Exons: 3
Source: RefSeq, a predicted model, not a curated record
CCUUUAUAUGAAUCUCAAAUAUAUAUAAUCUACCACAAAUGUUGGACAAGAUAAGUUGUAUAUAAUCUCUUUUUUACUGCCAAAAACAUCAAGAGCUCAAAAUGGUUGUAUAAUUCUUCAUCCCCUUUUUGAUUAAUGGUUGUAUAAAUUGGGGGGAUUGAGCAGCAUUGCGGCUUGGGCUGCCGUUUUUGCCGAGUUUUCUAGCGUAGACGGGCUCCGUCGACGACAUGAUUCGAGGAGUGAACUAUGCUUCUGCUGGUGCUGGGAUAAUCCUUUCCAGUGGCUCUGAAUUGGGGCAACAUAUAUCUCUCACUCAGCGGAUCCAGCAGAUGAUGGACACAUUUCAGCAAUUCAUUAUCACCAUAAGAGAGGUUGCAGCAAAAUAUCUUAUUUCGAACUCCAUGUUCUACAUUUCAAUUAGGAGCAAUGACUACAUACACUACUAUCUCCUAAAUGAGUCCAAAGUGCAAUCCAUGUACCUGCCUUGGAGUUUCAAUUAAUUUUGAAACUAAGCUAAUUGACAAGGUAAGUGAUUUGGAGAAAUUAUUUAUGCAACACAUUUUCUUUAUAGAAGUGAAAAAUAACACUACAAUUAAUCUUCUAAUUAUAUUUUUCCAAUGGGUUUCUCUGUGAGUGAUGAUUUUGAGAUGAAGUUGGUGAUGAUUUUGAGAUGAAGUUGAUUGAUAUGAAGGUAAUAAAUAUAGAUCAUCUUAAAUUCUAUCACUUGCAUUUCUAGAGAACGUUAUUUUGAAAGGAUAUCUGAGUACAACGAUGAGCUCAAGUAUAGUUCAUAGGCAAAGAGAAGUUGAGAUAGUAAUAUCCACAAUUUAGUGGAUAAGCGCCCAAAGAAGUUAGAUAGAGGCCUAUGCAGAUACAAGACUCAAUUUUUUUACUUAUUUCAUCAUCAGCAAUUCAUCUGUUUUUUUCGUGUAAAUUGGUGUGUGAACACCAAAAAUUCAAGAACAUCAACCCAUCAACAUUUUCCUGGCAUAAUCAUUAACAUAUAUCAAGUAUUGUGAGAUACCAAAAGCCAGGGCUCUAUACAUCUGAUAUUAGUAAAAUAAGUAUCUCAUAUAUUUUUUUUCAGUUUACGCAUAAUCUGUGGGUAUCUAGAUUGAGCUUUUUCUUCUUUUUUACUUUUCGGUGGUUAAUUUUAAUAAUAAUUUGUUUCAUUGUUGGAAAUUAUUAGAUGGGGGAAGGAGUCGGGUUUUUUCUUUAACAUGAGAUACUUUGAGGAUGCAGUGACUAAUGGAGAAUGAGAUGAAGUGGAUAAGUAUUUGUCAGGUUUUACGAAGGUUGAUGACAACCAUUUUGUUCUGAAUUACUUUCUUCAAGAGUUGGUGUUUUCUAUUGAUAUUUCAGAAAAAGGAAAGGUAAAAACUUGUGGGCAUCUCAAUAUACGGUGCAGAUCACUGCCUCAAGGUACCGCUUUCCCUUUGCUUUUUCGAUUAAUUAGACGGAAUCGGCUACAUUUCUCUGUUUGGGUUUCGUUAUUGAAAAAUUGAAAUCUACACAUAUUAUUAGGGUUAUUUUCUCCCUUUCCACUUUGCGUCGAUUCAAAUUCCAGAUUUUUAUUAAUGAAGACGCCCAUGUUUGUUGUUUUUCAUUGUUUCUAUAAUAAUGCGAAGGAAGCAAGUGUGGGUUGAGUAUGAGAGGUUUUUGUUUAAUGGAAUUAUUGCUGCUAGAGCUUCAGCUUCAAUUGUUGCUGCAGAGCCCACAAACUCAAAGGCAAACAUUUAUUUUUUCUUUUUCUUUUUCUUUUGGAUGGUUAAUGAUAAUGCUGUGAUUUUGGCAAUUGAUCUUUUUAUUUUUAAUUUUAUUUUUUAAUGGUAGAAGGAUGAUAGAUUGCUUUCUCUGAUUUAGUUUUGGAGGAAUUGCCAUUUAAACCAAAGGGAUAUAAUUAUUGGAUGUAGCAAGAUAAGAAAAUACAUUAUGUAAUGGAAGGAGAGGGGCUGCCCAUUAUUCUUAUUCAUGGGUUAGGGGCUUCUGCAUUUCAUUGGAGGAUGUCUUUGUUGGCAUGAAGUUCAUGCAGAUUGGAGGAUGGACCUUGGCUAGAGCAAGAAUGGAGGAAGGAAGAAUCCACAAUCCAUCCCCACAAAUUAGAUAUUACUGUAUUCCCUUCACCAUAUAUCAUAUUUGUUGUUUUUUCAUGUGUUUUGCUAGGAAUGUUAGUUUUAAAAUUUUAUUAAAUUUUAUUGAUUUGGUGUUUUGUAGUAUUGAUGUAUUGCAAAUAUAGUUGUAUGAAAGUCUAUAACAGGUUGUCGAUAACAAGAUAUUUUGAAAUAAAAAAAAUAUUUUUCUGGCUCCAUAAA